This is a non-coding RNA of Otolemur garnettii (small-eared galago), 94 nucleotides long. Lineage: Eukaryota; Metazoa; Chordata; Mammalia; Primates; Galagidae. The record is from Rfam.
CCUUCGAUAGCUCAGCUGGUAGAGCGGAGGACUGUAGACUGGACGCGUGGCUGCCGACAUCCUUAGGUCGCUGGUUCGAUUCCGGCUCGAAGGA